UACGUAGGGUGCAAGCGUUGUUCGGAAUCAUUGGGCGUAAAGCGCGUGUAGGUUGUCUAAUAAGUCGGGUGUGAAAUCCCUCGGCUCAACCGAGGAAGUGCAUUCGAAACUAUUAGACUAGAAGAUGGUAGAGGAAGGUGGAAUUCCAAGUGUAGAGGUGAAAUUCGUAGAUAUUUGGAGGAAUACCGGUGGCGAAGGCGGCCUUCUGGACCAUUCUUGACACUGAGACGCGAAAGCGUGGGUAGCAAACAGG
RNAcentral lists this ribosomal RNA (253 nucleotides) under uncultured bacterium. RNAcentral describes it as "partial 16S ribosomal RNA". It matches the Rfam family "Bacterial small subunit ribosomal RNA", at positions 524 to 776 of the family's 1533-position model. The record is from RNAcentral.